GCGGGAGGAGGAAGGAGGAGAAGCAAAGUUGGCCAGGGUCCUGCUGGCUGGGGGCCAGGACUGCCUCCCUAAACAAGCAGGCGGGGGCACAUAUAGCCCUGGGUUGAGUUGUUGCCCUUACUCAUCUGGCCACAGCAGGAAGAAGAGGCGCCCGGAAAACCUUAGCUCUUGGCUAUCUCUUCCCUGAGCACACCCUGGCCUUGGGGCCUGAGAUCUCUCCAUGCAGGGGCAACCAUGAGCUCCGGGGGCAGCAGCAAGGCUGGCCACACCACCCGUCAGCCACCUCCAGCCCCGCCGCUCAACCAGCCAUCAGUCCCUUAACUGCCAGUGUUCGUGGACCAUGCAAAACAACCAACCUGUGAAAUGGCGAGUGUUCUCAUCAUGCUUUCUUCUCUUUCUCAAGAGCCGUCAGCUCUACCAAGCACACAUUUAGAACUAUAAAUUUCCAGUCCCAGCUACUCAGGAGACUGAGGCACAAGAAUUGCUUGAACCUGAGAGGUAGAGGUUGCAGUGAGCCAAGAUCGCACCACUGCACUCCAGCCUGGGCGACAGAGGGAGACUCUGUCAAAAAAAAAACAGAAAGAAGAAAGAAAGAAAAGAAAAGAAAGAAGAAAGAAGAAAGAAAGAAAGAAAAAGAGAAAGAAGAAAAAAGGAAGGAAGGAAGAAAGGAAGGAAGGAAGGAAGCAAGGGACGAACUACAAAUUUCCCUCUAAUCAGUGUCUUCACUUUAUUCCCAAAUUUUUGGUAUGCUGUGUUUUCAUCUUCAUUCAUCUCUAAGUAUACUCUAACCUCCUUUUUAAUUUCUUCUUUGACUCAUUGGUUGCUUAUGUCAUUUAACUUCCACAUAUUUGCAAAAUUUCCAGUUUUCCUUUAGUUAUUGACUUCACUGCAUGUGGUCGAGGAAGAUACUUUGUAUGGUUUCAAUGUUUAAAAAAUUUAUUGGGACUUGUUUUAUGACCUAACAUAUGGUCUAUUCUGGAGAAUGUUUCAUUUGCACUUCAGAAGAAUGUGUGUUUUGAGAAGAAUAUGUAUUCUGCUGUUGUUGAGUGGAGUGUUCUAUAUUUGUUGGUCUAGCUGGUUUAUGGUGCUGUUCAAAUCCUCUACUUUCUUAUUCAUCUUCUGUCUAUCCAUUAUUUAGAAUAGGGUAUUGUGUCUUCCACUGUUAUUUUAGAACAGUGUAUUUCUUCCUUCAUUUCUGUCAGCUUAUUUCAUAUUUUGAGGUUUUAACUGUUUGUUGCACCUAUGUUUAUAAUAAUUAUACAUUAUUAAUGAAUUGACCCUUUUAUCAAUAUAUAAUUUCAUUCUUUGUUUCUUGUAACACUUUGUUUUGUUUGAUACAUAUAUUGCCACCCAGCUAUCUUUUGGUUACUAUUUGCAUGGAAUGCUUUUUCUCCAUCCUUUUAUGUUCAACCUAUUUGUGUCUUUGAAUAUAAAGUGAGACUGUUGUAGACAGACAACAUAUAGUUGGAUCAUGUUUUCUAACUAUCCUGCCAAUUUCUGCCUUUUGAUUGGAUGAUUUAAUCAAUUUACAUUUAAAGUGAUUACUGAUAUGGAAGAACUUACUUCUACCUUUUUGCUGUUUGAUUUUUGUAUUUCUUUUUCCCUUUUAAAUAAUUUUUAUCUCUUUAUUGAUAUUAAAAAUUUCAAAUAUAUACCUGUCCUGAUUUUCUUUAGUACUUUG
Molecule: long non-coding RNA, 1681 nt
Organism: Pan troglodytes (chimpanzee)
Lineage: Eukaryota; Metazoa; Chordata; Mammalia; Primates; Hominidae
Exons: 3
Source: RefSeq, a predicted model, not a curated record